GAUAAAUAUACCGGUUCUCGUUAGAACACCGAAGUCAAGCAUCAUUGGGCGCGGUCAGUACUUGGGAGGGUGACCACCUGGGGAAUUUUCG
Molecule: ribosomal RNA, 91 nt
Filed under: Caerostris darwini
Lineage: Eukaryota; Metazoa; Arthropoda; Arachnida; Araneae; Araneidae
Source: RNAcentral